GAGUUUGAUCCUGGCUCAGGAUGAACGCUGGCGGCGUGCCUAACACAUGCAAGUCGAACGGAGUUUAUGAGGAAGAAGCUUAGGCAGAAUUCUUAUAAACUUAGUGGCGGACGGGUGAGUAACACGUGGAGAACCUGCCUCUUACCGGGGGACAGCAGUUGGAAACGACUGAUAAUACCGCAUAAGCGCACGAGACCGCAUGGUCCUGUGUGAAAAGAUUUAUCGGUAAGAGAUGGCUCCGCGUCUGAUUAGCCAGUUGGCGGGGUAACGGCCCACCAAAGCGACGAUCAGUAGCCGGCCUGAGAGGGUGAACGGCCACAUUGGGACUGAGACACGGCCCAGACUCCUACGGGAGGCAGCAGUGGGGGAUAUUGCACAAUGGAGGAAACUCUGAUGCAGCGACGCCGCGUGAGUGAAGAAGUAUUUCGGUAUGUAAAGCUCUAUCAGCAGGGAAGAAAGACCUCGAGAGGGGGAUGACGGUACCUGAGUAAGAAGCCCGGCUAACUACGUGCCAG
Molecule: ribosomal RNA, 515 nt
Filed under: uncultured microorganism
Description: bacterial SSU rRNA
Rfam family: Bacterial small subunit ribosomal RNA
Source: RNAcentral